Long non-coding RNA from Oncorhynchus gorbuscha (pink salmon), 747 nucleotides. RefSeq lists it as uncharacterized. The record is from RefSeq and is a predicted model, not a curated record. The transcript is spliced from 3 exons. NCBI's taxonomy places the organism in Eukaryota, Metazoa, Chordata, Actinopteri, Salmoniformes, Salmonidae.
GGGAUUGUGUUUUUGUGUAGCUGCCUGUGAACACUGCAUCUACUACACGCUUCGUUUGUUCUGUAUUGUUUUGUCUAUUUUCAGUCAAAGUGGGGAAACAACAGAACAAACAGCUUGUUAUUUCCCUCUGGACAGACAGAGGAAUCCCUGGUUAACCAGAAGGAGCAGGCGGAUUGCCACCACAGUGAGGUGCCCGUUUUAUCCUGGCGAUCGUGUCUGUCUCUCCAGGAACCUCCCACUCUGCCUGCCUUGUAAGAAGCUGAGCCCCCGGCCAGUAGUUGCUGAUCCCCCGGCCGAGACUGUCCCCCACGACACCCCUCCGCUAGCCUUGGACAUCGAGGGAGGUCCCACCUAUGCUGUCAGAUGGACUCCCUGGACUCCCGACAUCGUGCGGGUUGGCUCCAGUACCUGGUGGACUGGGAGGGGUACGGUCCCGAGGAGCGUUGUUGGGUUCUGGUGAAGGAAAUUCUGGAUCCUAACAUCAUCUGUGAUUCCCACCUUCACUGUCCGGACCGGCCCGCUCCUCACCCUCAGGGCCUUCUCCUUGGCUGGUGCUGUCCAGCGGCAGGAGCCGCGUGUCAGUGUGGGGGACUGUCACGUCUACUCCUGCUCAUUCCACGCACCUACUCCUCAUGACAAGGCACACCUGGACUCCAUUUCCUCACUCAUUACCUCUCCUAUAUAUGGCACUCAGGUUUAUUCCCCAGGCAGUAUUGAUGUUUCAUGUUCGUACGCUUCUCUUGUAUU